UGCGUAGGUGGUCGGCUAAGUCUUAAGUUAAAUAUUUUGACUCAAUCAAAAAAGUGCUUAGGAAACUAGUCAACUAGAGUAUAAGUGGGGUAAGUGGAAUUCCCGGUGUAGGAGUGAAAUCCGUUGAUAUCGGGAGGAACACCAAUGGCGAAGGCAACUUACUGGCUUAAUACUGACACUAAGUGCACGAAAGCAUGGGUAGCAAACG
This 208-nucleotide ribosomal RNA is filed under the name uncultured bacterium. Its description in RNAcentral is "partial 16S ribosomal RNA". It matches the Rfam family "Bacterial small subunit ribosomal RNA", at positions 568 to 774 of the family's 1533-position model. The record is from RNAcentral.